UAACUUCCGCAGCACAUAUACUAAAAUUGGAACGAUACAGAGAAAAUUAGCAUGGCCCCUGCACAAGGAUGGCAUGCAAAUUCGUGAAGCGUUCCAUAUUUAA
Molecule: small nuclear RNA, 103 nt
Filed under: Erinaceus europaeus (western European hedgehog)
Lineage: Eukaryota; Metazoa; Chordata; Mammalia; Eulipotyphla; Erinaceidae
Source: RNAcentral